AUCUGUCCAUGUGUUUUCGUUUCAUCUUACACCCACUUGAUGCCAUUGCAAGCCUGUGUUCACAAAGCAAGGAAUAUGACUGUGUGUUUAUAUUCCUUUCGGAUUGGAAGGGGAAACUGGCAAGCAAUUCCACCAUUGCAGAGCAAGGCAUCCUUCAAGUUCUUGUUCCUGCUAACGUGAGUUAAGUAUCCCACUUCCAUUCUUGCCAAUACCCACGAUAUAAAUUUUCACUACCCAACUAGGAAAAUUUAGUACCCAACAGCGCAAAUAUCAUCUUCUCCCAUUUCACAGAUACCCAACAAAAAACAUUCAAUACCCAAUAAGCCAAAACACAGUGUACGGCAAAACUUGUCGCGGCAGAUUGGAGCGUUGAGAGUCACUUCGGCUCGAAGUGGUAAUAACAUCUGAAGAUUUCUGAGGUGGGUUUUUCUUAUCAGGUAGUUAAAACAUCUGAAGAUUUCUGAGUUGGGUUUUUCUUGUCGGUCUUUAAAUACAUCUGUGGGCAUUUAAAUAUGGGUUCUAGACCUAGUUCUACUGGCUACUGGUGCUAUCAGUGCAAUCGUUUGAUUCGAUUGGCCUCAAAUAGGACGCCCUUGGUUUGCCCUCUUUGUACUGGUGAAUUUCUAGAGGAAGUCGAAGAGGGGCCUAGGGCUCAGCUGCUGGAGGCCAUUUCAUAUGAAGGGGACGCAGAUAGAAGGCCCUCUGCUGUUCAGUUAAUAGAGGCCGUAUCCAACUUGCUCAAUCAGUAUAAUGACCACAGAAGGGAAGAGGAUGGUGGUUUCAGGCCUGUGAUCUUUGUCAGAGGUGGUCAGAGGGGUAGGGACGAUAAUGGUGGUAAUGGUGGCGGUAUGGGGUUUAUAUUGGGCACUGGAUCAGGGAUUAGGGGUUUGCCUGCUAACAUUGGGGAUUACUUUGUGGGGUCUGAUUUUGAUCGCCUCAUUGAACAAUUGACACAGAAUGACAGGUGUGGACCGCCCCCUGCUCCUACAAGUGCUGUGGAUGCCAUGCCUACAGUUAGGGUAACUAGAGACCAUCUUCGAUCCAAUCCCAACUGCCCUGUUUGCACCGAACCAUUUGAGAUGGGUGGCAAUGUCAGAGAAAUGCCCUGCAAGCACAUUUUUCAUUCGGAGUGUAUUGUACCUUGGCUGACCCAGCAUAAUUCAUGUCCGAUUUGUCGUCAGGCGCUGCCGACUGAAGAGCCUGCUGAUAACAGACAGCAACAGCCUACUGAUAACAGACAGCAACAGCCUACUGAUAAUAGUCAUCAACAUCCUGCUGAUAAUAGACAGCAACAUCCUGCUGAUAAUGGACAGCAACAGCCUAGAUCAACGGCCAGAGGUGCCGCACCGGUUGAUGCCACAACUUCAGCUAUACCAGUUGCCGGACACGGCAUUAGGCUUGCUUUUAGAAGGCUAUGUUGCAGUGAUGGAUCAGGUGGACGGAAUGGCAAUUCAAGGAACUCAUCUGUUGCAAUUCGUUCUCUUGCAGGUGGGAGGGUUGCUAAUGCCAAUAAUAAUUCCAUCAUUAACCCAACCAGGGAUAACAGAGCUCAUCAUGGUAGUAGUGGACACAAUCAAGGCAGGCGCAGUUUCUUCAACUUUAAUUGGUGGCCUUUUCGAUCGUCAAACCCCAAUCCACAAGGUGGUUCAACUGAAUAAAAAGAAUUGCUGGAGCGCUUGUCUAUACCUACACAAUGGAAACGUUCUCACUGUUUUUAUAUGUGGGACAAUGACUCUGAAUGACAUGGUUUACAAGUAAUGGCUUCAAGAUUGCAUGGUUUAUUUGUGACACUGAAUGUUAAUCUUUUUGCCAAGAGGUGGACCAUGUGGCCCAUGGGUAUGAAAACGCUAUCAGCAAAUAUCUGGCCUGGGUUAAUAUGAGUAUGAAAACGCUAUCAGCAAAUAUCUGGCCUGGGUUAAUAUGAGUUUGAUUAAUAAUCAUAUCGACAUGGGCAUUCUAUUGGUACCAAGGAGUUAUAUUGGGGUUAAUGUAUGCGCGUCUAACUCCAAAUGGAGAUUUAGAAUUUUAGAUGCAUCAUCAACUGUUGCUGCUAUAUCAUGUUAUGUUUGAAUUUUGUUUAUCUUCUAAGUAUUUACUGGUACAAAUCAUCUGUUGUGGGUUCUAUUCUUUGUAAAAUAUAGGCUGUCAUUUGCUGAAUUCAAACUUGGAUUAAAAAUAAACAAGAGGGAGUUGAUUGGCAUUUACUAUUUGCAUGUGAAAAUUUUGAGUGGGUGACAAAUAAAUUUCAGCGUUAUCAGGCCAGUAAUUAAGUAUAGAAAUUGAGUUAUGGUGAUACUGUGACGUACAGUGAAAGUGUAGUUCAAAAAUUUAAACUGCUAUCUUGUUUAGCAAGUUUGUAUGCGAUGGUUUUAAUAUUGAACCUAUGAGCCAAUCGUACAAAGAUACAGAAUGGCAUGACACAACUUGUAAGCUAUGACCUUAUACUCUUUGCACUCUUUUGAGAAGAAACAUUAUGAUUUAAUAAAAUAUGUCAGCUGGCAUCUUUUCUUGUAGUUUCAA
This is an RNA transcript of Cryptomeria japonica (Japanese cedar), 2520 nucleotides long. It is a transcript of the gene named probable E3 ubiquitin-protein ligase RHC1A, with no coding region annotated. NCBI's taxonomy places the organism in Eukaryota, Viridiplantae, Streptophyta, Pinopsida, Cupressales, Cupressaceae. The record is from RefSeq and is a predicted model, not a curated record. The transcript has 4 exons.